This 207-nucleotide ribosomal RNA is filed under the name uncultured delta proteobacterium. RNAcentral describes it as "partial 16S ribosomal RNA". It matches the Rfam family "Bacterial small subunit ribosomal RNA", at positions 568 to 774 of the family's 1533-position model. The record is from RNAcentral. Lineage: Bacteria; Deltaproteobacteria.
CGUGUAGGCGGUUUGUUAAGUCUGAUGUGAAAGCCCCGGGCUCAACCUGGGAAGUGCAUUGGAUACUGGCGGACUUGAAUACGGGAGAGGGCAGUGGAAUUCCUGGUGUAGGAGUGAAAUCCGUAGAUAUCAGGAGGAACACCGGUGGCGAAGGCGGCUGCCUGGACCGAUAUUGACGCUGAGACGCGAAAGCGUGGGUAGCAAACA